RNAcentral lists this ribosomal RNA (478 nucleotides) under uncultured bacterium. Its description in RNAcentral is "bacterial SSU rRNA". It matches the Rfam family "Bacterial small subunit ribosomal RNA", at positions 364 to 832 of the family's 1533-position model. The record is from RNAcentral.
UUUCGCAAUGCCCGAAAGGGUGACGAAGCGACGCCGCGUGCGGGAAGAAGGCCUUCGGGUUGUAAACCGCUGUCGGGAGUUAAGAAACGCAAGGGUGUUAACAGCAUCCUUGCUUGACUAAGGCUCCGGAGGAAGCCACGGCUAACUCUGUGCCAGCAGCCGCGGUAAUACAGAGGCGGCAAGCGUUGUUCGGAAUUAUUGGGCGUAAAGGGCACGUAGGCGGCUGUGUAAGUCGGUUGUGAAAGCCUUCCGCUCAACGGGAGAACGGCAUCCGAUACUGCAUGGCUUGAGUGCGGGAGGGGAGAGUGGAACUUCUGGUGGAGCGGCGAAAUGCGUAGAUAUCAGAAGGAACACCGGCGGCGAAGGCGACUCUCUGGCCCGUAACUGACGCUGAGUGUGCGAAAGCUAGGGGAGCAAACGGGAUUAGAUACCCCGGUAGUCCUAGCCGUAAACGAUGGGCACUAAGUAGAGGGGUUUU